RNAcentral lists this ribosomal RNA (253 nucleotides) under uncultured bacterium. Its description in RNAcentral is "partial 16S ribosomal RNA". It matches the Rfam family "Bacterial small subunit ribosomal RNA", at positions 524 to 776 of the family's 1533-position model. The record is from RNAcentral.
UACGUAGGGCGCAAGCGUUGUCCGGAAUUAUUGGGCGUAAAGAGCUCGUAGGCGGCUUGUCACGUCGGGUGUGAAAGCCCGGGGCUUAACCCCGGUUCUGCAUUCGAUACGGGCUGGCUAGAGUGUGGUAGGGGAGAUCGGAAUUCCUGGUGUAGCGGUGAAAUGCGCAGAUAUCAGGAGGAACACCGGUGGCGAAGGCGGAUCUCUGGGCCAUUACUGACGCUGAGGAGCGAAAGCGUGGGGAGCAAACAGG